This 16172-nucleotide long non-coding RNA is filed under the name Heterocephalus glaber (naked mole-rat). Its description in RNAcentral is "lncRNA (ENSHGLG00000050974.1)". Lineage: Eukaryota; Metazoa; Chordata; Mammalia; Rodentia; Bathyergidae. The record is from RNAcentral.
UGUAGCUUCAUAUUGUAAAGCAAUUAACUUUUUUUGUACUGGGGAUUGAACUCAGGACCUUGCACUUAGAAGGCAGGCGGCAACGAUUAACUUUUUUUGUCUGUACAUUUUUCCUUAUAAGCUAAUUUGUAAACUGAAUUGAUGCCAUGUUUGACAUUUUGGAAUGGAAUUAGUGAGAUAGCCUUCCUUACUGGGCAUGUCAUCGUGUUUUCCAAAAGCUGUGGAUUAAUGCAACUUUAUGAUGGUUCCUUCCGGAUUGUAUGGCUGCUUGUCUUUCCUAAAGAUGUUUCUCCCAAUAACUGAGCAGAAUGUACAAGAGGGCUUUGGUUCAGCGUAGGAGAAAGGGUUUUUGAUAAUGAGUUCAGGCAUAGUGAAAAUCUUCUGAAGAAUAAAAGGGCCUCUCCUUUGGAAGUUUCCCCAAAUAAUAAUAGCAUGUGAGUGUUCCCUAGGGGCCAAGAGCCAGGUGCUCAUUUGCUUUUGCUUGCUGCAUCCCAUUCUCUGGAAGAGGUCCCCGAGUCAACAGUGGACAAGAGCUUCAGAGACCAAGCGCUGGACACUGGACAGGGAGAGCAGAGCUGCCUGCCCGGCACUCCCUCAGGAAUAUGCACGUAGAUGACUCCCAAGUUUCACCACUCUUCAAAUGAACACAAAUGACUUUGAAAUCAUCAUGACUUUCGAUUUGGGGAUUACACAUCAACUUUGAUGAGCAGGAAAAUUGCAUGGAGAAAAUCCACAAAUCGGAAGAGCAGAUGGUACAUCACGAUCAAGUGGACAGGUGUCCAGCACACAGGUAGUAGCGGGAUCCCGAUGGACACCCACUCGUCUCCUGCUCUGGUCGUGUAGAUUGUGUUGGAUUUUGUAACCAUUCCACAGGGUGCAGCAUGAAUUCUCCUACACCCUCCCCGCAUGGUUAGUGUGGUGAAGGAAACAGGUGAGUAGGGUUGGACCCUGCCCUCACACACUUGCAAUUGAACAGGGAAAGUGUGACCCACGUGACAGGGCCAUCUGGGCCAGAAAGCCAUCUGGCCAUCCCCAUCCCCAGAACCUUGGGAUGGGAAGUCCAGGUGAGGGUGGGUGCCUGGCUUUCCUGGGUCAGCUGCAUGCUGCUCAGAUGCCAGGAACAUGGAGGACAGCAGGGAGGGGCCUGUGAGGUCAUCACCACCCGUUAGGGACAGGGGGACAGGGGUGCAGCCUAGAGGGAGGACUGAUGGGGUCAUGCUCACCAGACGGACCUCACAGCCAGGUGUCCCCACCUGAGCUAGCCCUCACACUGAGAUCGCGGGUGGUGUAUUCCCACGCACUGUGUCUGUGUCUGGUGUCUCCAUACCCAGAGGGCCUUCUCCGUAUGCUCAUGGCAGAGCAGGGGGGAGGUUUGUGAGGUGCCGACUCUCCUGCUGUCUGGGUCACUGAACAAUUAGAAUUUUGUUGUCUGCACAGCUGAUACAGUCAGCUGCCUGCUCAAAUGAAUAGGACCUGGACAUCAACCGCUGCACGCGCAUUGACAGCCACCCUUGAUAUGUCACCUGUCGGACACAAGGUCUGUCUCUAGGGGACUCUGCUCUUAACUAGAGAUGAUGCCGUGUGUGCGUGAGCUGCAGAUCACAUUCAAGUCCUGCAUUCUCCAGGACUGGAUGGAUUUCCAGCCCCGCUCCUGCAUCCCCAGUGUUUGGAACCAUCUUUGAACCAGUAGGUCUGUCUUGAGAUCCUUUCCAGAAUCCCGUUGUACAUGUACACAAGUGUUGGCUGCCGUGGUAUUUGUGACCAAGAAAAGUCAGAAACAGCUUCAAUCCCACGUCUUAGGGGGAUGGUUAAAGAGCAGUGCAGCACAUGCAGAGAAUUCAUUCUUCAGCCACGUAGACAGGAGGAUGACAAUUAAAAUGGCAACAUUACAGGGAAAAGACACAGCAUGGAAAUUGUACACAUGGCUAGAUGAUAGAAAAAGAAAAGACAAAGAUGCCACCAAAGGGCAAAUAAAAGUGCCUGCAGAUCGGCAGCCAUGUCCUGCUUAGCUGCCCUCGCCAGUCAUCUGGGCUGGAUGUCAGUGAAUACUGUGGGGAAAAAGGGCAGCCAUCCCAUUUCUAUGAUUAGGCUCCGGAAACCCCUGGCUCUGAGCUGCCCUUCACCCCACUACAUGUGGCGGCAUCUUCAGCAUCUUCACCGCUGCAUGGAACGGUGUCUUUGUUACCGUGUGUCACAGCGUCUCCACUGUGACACGCACUGACUCCUGUGUGCUUGUUGUACUGAGCGGUCACAGGGGAAGGGAGAUCUGGAGAAGUACCAGGGUGCUAGGUACAGAAUGUUGCAGGUGGCAACAGCAGUGAAAGCUGGGGUCAAGCAGCAAGCGCUUCCUUGGGGCGCCUCUGCUGUCUGUGACGUUGUCCUCUCCUACUGGGGAGGAGCCCGUGUCAAAGAGUGGGCUACAGAGAGCUUUGCAGACAGCAGAGCUGUGCACCCAGAAUAGGUACCUAGAGCUGCUGUCUGGGACCCACCAGCCUUCCCCACAUAGAACUCCCUGGCUCUGACAGCUGGCGGAGGCUGGCCCUGAAGGAGCACUCCGAUUCCUUGCUGAUCGAGUCUGAUUCCUAAUGAUUUUAGCAGGUGGCCCUAUGGUCCAGGGCUUCCCCUGAGGAAGGCCUUUCCCUGGGAGGUGAGCCCAGUUUUGGGAUAAGCCAGCAGUGCAGCUGAUCGGGCUGCUUGGUGCUCACAGUGUAGUCAGCAGGAGGUGACCCGUCCUUAGUAUGUUGUGCUGCCUUCCGAAGGCAGCCUUGGAAAUGGGAGGGCAGCAGAAGAGCUUUGCUCUAUGUUCAUUCUUUUUUAUAUUUGGAAGAUAAUAGAGGACAUUCAGAAUUGCCACCAUCACAGCAUUUUACAAACUAGCAAUAUAAAGAAGGAAGAGUAACCACUGCUAGCUCGGAACUGGACUCACCCCUUCUUGAAAUAGUCCCCGUUCUCAGUUUAUGGGAACCCAGUGUUGAGGUGGUAAACGCCUCACAGGAUGAAAUCCCACUGUGGCUGAUUUGAGACCUCUAAAGGUUAAAACCUUAUUGGCAAUCUUCUUGAAUAUGUAACAGUCAGCUUUCUCAAGCCUGUACACGCUCACACAGUUUUUGGUUUCUUCUGCUUCUGCUUCCUCUACUACUACUACUUUUUUUUCUUCUCUUUCUCUUCCUUCCUUUUCCUCCUUCCUGUUCUUCCUCCUGUUCUCUUUCCUUCACCUCUUCUCCCUCUGGAGUUGGAAACCCAUUAUCAUAUUAGACAGCACACCAUUUCCAUUUCCUGUGUCACAUGAAGUCCUCUUGGCUCCUUUUUCUCAUGCAGUAGGGUUUCCAUGAAGAUGAACUGUGUUGUCUCUAAGCAUUCUGGAAGGGCAGGGUGGUCUGGUGGGGCAGGGAAGGGUGACAGCGACCCUUGUCAUUCAGGGCCUGACUCCUGCAGUGCUGUCCACAUCUGGCUUUUCUCUGCUCUGGUUAUGGCCUCUUCUAAACAUGCUCCUGGUGGCACAGUGAAGGCUGGGUGAUCUUUUCCUCCCUUCCCCUCCUGCUCAUUUCCAGAGUUCAGAAGAGAACCUCAUUCUCCUUGUGGCAAACUUUUCUUGGUGCACCCUCAUUCUUAAGCCCCUCAGGUGCCCCCUCCACCUGUCCUUAGAAACUGAGCUCCCUCCAAGCACACCUUAGCCAUUAUGGCAUGGAGUCCACCUACUUCCUGUCGAGAAGUAGAGAAGCUCUGGGGGCACAGUGGUGUCCACUCCUAGUCCCAAGUGUUAUUUGUAUGAAUGUGUUACUUUGCACACAGAAGGGUCUUUGCAAACGUCAUUAAGGUUACUGAUCAGUUGACUUUCAGUGAGGAGAUUGUGCUAAAUUAACCCAGUAGACGAAUUCUAAUCCCAGGGACCCUCUAAUGCAGAGAACUUUCUCUGAUUGGAUCAGAGGUGCAGAAGAGAAGAGUCAGAGAGAUCCUGAGUGUGCGGAGAGUUGAUGCAGUGCGGUUGGAUCUGCCAUGUGGAGCUCACAGGCAUGGACUGAUUUCUAAGGUGACCCUCAGCCAAGAGCCAGCAAAGAAGUAGGAUCUGCCUGCAGGGAACCCAGGUUGGCAAUAACACAAAUAGGCUUGAAGAGGGCCCUUCCGGAAGCCUCCAGGUCAGAGCCAGCUGACCCUUACCCUAAGUGCGGCUUUGAAGCCUGACUCAGAGACAGCAGAUACCCAGCUCACACCGAUGGCCAGAGCCGUGAUCUUGUGAGUGUGUGAUUUUAAACCGUGGAAUGAGUGUAACUUGUUACAGUGGCUGUAGAAAACAGACACAGGACCCUAGUGGCUGGGAACAGGUUCUGGGCCCCUCUCCUGGGGUCUUUGCUUGUUCCUGAGGAUCCUCACACAUCCAAGCACAGGUCCCACAGUGAACAGAUUCUCCCUUCCCCCUUCCCAUCUGCAGUCGACACUCAGUGGGUUUUACCCCUGCUCCCUGGACCUCAGUUCAGACCCCUGGGGUGUUUUAGCAGCUUCCUGUGGGUCUCCCAGCCCUGGGCCCCCUAUUUCCAGCUGCCCCCCACUAAUGCAGCUCUGCUCUCAGGACUCAUUCCUCCCCGACAGGCAUCCUGCGCUUUGCCUCUUCUCAGUGAAACAGGUAUAGGUCCAGCAGCCUAAAAUUCACAGCCUUUCGUAGGGAAGGGAGCAUGACAUCUCCGUCCUCACCUCCCAGGACUCUCUCUUGGGCAUUUGCAUUCUUGUUUUGUCCCCUGCAUUUUCUCAGCCCCAGGAUUCUUGGGAGUCCUGCAGGGAAGGAGUCCCCAACCCUGGGCCAUGGACUGGUACUGGUCCAUGGCGUGUUAGGAACCAGGCUGCGUAGCAGGAGGCAAGCAGCUGGAGAGGGAAGCUUCCCCUGUAUCUACAGCUGCUCCCGCCCCUUGCCUGAGCUCCGCCUCCCCCUCCUGUCAGAUCAGCAGGGCAUUAGGUUCUCCUAGGAGCUCAAACCCACCCUGAGCUGCACAUGCAAAGGGAUCUAGGUCGCGUGCUCCUUUGAAUUAUCCUGAAACACCCUGCCCCCACUUUGUGGAAAAAUUGUCUUCCACCAAACCAUCCCUGGUCCCAGAAAGUUUGGGGACCACUGCUGUAGGGCCCUGCCCGUGGGCCAUUGAGUCCCAGCAGGCUUCCAGGAAGCCGUAGAGCUGCCGCCCUUGAGAUGUGUGGUGCUGAAGCUCAGUGUCCCUGUCACACCCUAAGUGACCUGAGUAGGGCCUUCCACCAUCCCAGCUCGGUGUGUGCACAGUGCUUAGGAGUCCUGAGCAUACCUAUGCUCACACGCUGACUGGGGUACAUCCCACCGGAAGGAGAAAGGCAAGCUUAUCAUGUUAGGCACAGUGCCUGAAUCACUCAUUAAAUAGCUCUUAAAUGAGUAUUUCAUGAAUUCCUUUUGCUGUAUUUUGAAAUAGAUGCCCCAAGUACUGGAAAAGAUCCUCAGUAUUUUUAGCACACUUUUCCUGUUACAGUGUUUCUGGGUAUAGCGGCUGCUUAUGCUGAGUUUGAAGGUGGUCCAAACUUGGCAGGUGUGUUACUGUGUUUGACAGAGUAAGACUAUUGCAUUGCUGUCAGGAUAAUUGCUAACACAUAUCAAGCACCUGUGAUCUCCAUGAGUUAGGUCAGUUAACCCUUACAGCAGUGCUCUGACGCUGGAUUAUCCAUGUCUGAGUGUUAUGGAUGAGGAAUCCAGAGUGCAGAAAGGUGAAGUGAUCUACUCAAGGUUAUGCAGCUGGCUGAUAGCAGAGCUGAUUUCCUUCCCAGCCAGUCGCAGUUCCACUCCUUCUAUGGCUACCAUUUCGUCCUUUGAUCAGAGGCAGGAAAACCCCCCAUUCUCGAUCGAAAAUCAUCAUUAGCAUUAUUUCUACAGUUCAUCACUAAUCUGCAACACCUCACAUAUGCACCGGGCUUUGAAAGGCUUUGCUCUUUGUUCUCUUAGCAGAGGGCGGCGGGAGGCUGGUGGGUGGGGCAAGGGCGAUUCUGUGUCCUGCAUGUGUCCCGAGUAGAAGGACCACGUCCGGAGUCACAGCUGCACUGAGUCCCCGAUGCGGAGGACUGAGGCCCAUCUCAGGCGCGGAUGCCCCCAACCCUGCCCUCCAGGAACACAGCCCGCCCACCUGUGCCCUGGGCUGCUCCCACCCACGCCGGAGGGCUGGCCACGGAGCCCUCCUUGGAAGUGAGGCCUGGGCUGGGGACGAGGGCACAGCAUUUCCCUGCAAUCUUGAUCUUUGGCCUGUGGGUUUGUCCUUGGCGAGGGUCUGAGGGUCUGUCCUCAGUUGUGAUAAGAGGUCUCGUUUCUUUCUUCCCUCUGCUUUCCCCAAGCCAAGGAAACAUGGAAUCGGGAGGGGAAAAUGGCUCUCCCUGUUGCACCCAAGAACAGCCUGCUGGAGUCUGUGCUGAGGCUGCUGGUGGGAGGCCCGGCCUGUCCUCAGAGGCCACGUCUGCAGCGAGGUUCUGCAGACCGAGCCAGUGCACAGCCCGGGGCCUCCCGGCUGUCUGGGCCCUGGUGGCCCCACAGGCCUUCCCUGUCCCGAGUGCGCCUCCAGAACACACCGUGUCUUUGGCCCGGAACGGCCUCCCGCUGGGGAGCCUCGUGUCUCCCACUCCCUGUCUCGUCCACCUCCCAUCCUGUGUGACUUCAGUCAGGAUGCAGGGAAGUCCUUCCCUCAAGUGAAGACAGCCGUCCAGGUUUUCAGCCUGGGUGUUGACUUCCUCUCGAAUCCCCAGUGCUUGGACACAAGGUCAUGGACCGCACUAGAGGAGGUGAGAUGGGCUGUGCAUUAGACAGGGCUGACGUCAAGUUCAGGCUGGGCUCGGGCGGCUGGCUGUGUGGCCCUGGGCAAGCUCCUUCACCGUGAGGCUCCUUCGUCCCCGUUGGAAGCAGGAGGAAAUUGCCCCAGCAAGGCCUGAGGGACUAAAAGAAGGCAGAGGAGGGCCACCUUCCUAGAUGCCACCUCAUUAGAUGGUGGCCCGGCAGGGAGGGUUCAAGAAGCCAGAGUGAGGCGGUGGGAGGAGGAAACGAAGUGAUGUGACCAAGUUGUUUUGCACUGCAAAGGCACCAGUGCAAAUAGGCCACGAUCCCAGAUCCCAGAGCUCGGCCCUGAGUCCUGGGGCCGUGUGCAAGGUGAACCGGACUCCCGUCUUUGUGAGGUCAAGGCCAGUGGGCAGCACCCAUGAGGACAGGGGACCUGGCCAUGGGCUCAGAGUGCCGAAAGCAGCUGGAGUCCUCAGCUUAGUAAACACGGGGCGCCAUACUCUGGCUUCCCUGUGCCUUGUUUGUCACCUGAGGAAAGACCGUCAGCCUCUGCCUGGCUCUCAGGGUACUGUAGGGGUUAGAUGAGGUCGCGGGUGCACACAGCUACAGUAGUGCUUGGUGUGCAGAGUGUGCGGGGCAUUAGUUACUAUUGUCACUGACUGGCCCUCUCGGCCGGUUGUGUGUGCGUUUGUGGCUCUUUCCCCGUGGGAAUGCGAACACUUCGCAGCUUUGGCGUGAUGGCUUGUCUGGCUCCCUCCUCUGUUCUGGAACAAGAGCUCAGUGUGUUCUGAGAAACCUGCAGCAUCGCCCCAGGAGUUUAUCAACAGCAGGAACUCGGGGGCCUUCCCAGAGUCUCAGCGCCAGAUGCCAGUGCCGGGCCCUGUCUGUCUCGGCCCAGCAGCGCUGCGCAGCAUGUGGUGUUCACUACGUGCUGUGCGCCCUGUCUCCCCAGGGGAAGCAGGACAUUUGGGGCAGGAUGAGGGUGGAGUGGAUCAAUUAAGGUGGGGUCUUUGGCUGAACUUUACCCUGGGUUUAUGGAGCUUGGAAACACAAAAAAGGUUGCAUUCCUUUCUGUGGAACUGCUUAAUCCACACGCACUCUCCAGACAGGGCUGCUGCUUGGUGCCAGCGGCUUCUCCCAGCACUGCUUGCUUCCAUUCCAAAGUGGGGAAGGGAGAGCUUUAGAGGGCCAGGUGGGUACUUCCUGGGCCCUCGCACUUAGGCCAUUUGUACCUAAGAUGCAACAAAGAAUCCCCAGCCGGCUUGAAACUGUCUCAUGCUAGUGCUGGUGUUCAAGUGCUGCUUCUGUCGUGGCCAUGCCUAACAGCAGCCAGCCAGGGCUUGGUGCAGACUGGACAGUCUGAGCUCAGGCUAUAUGCCUAGCACACACAUGGCCUUGGGCUCAAUCCCCAGCACCACCCCCCCCCCCAACAAAAACAGAAAACCCGAGUUCAAGUCCUGACUCAGAUGCUUAGCUCUGUUGCUUUUCUUCAGUAACGUAACAUCGUGGGCCCUCCCCUCUUCCAUCGGUAAAGCCAUGUGGUGAGGUGACAGAAAUGGCCCAGUGCUUCACUCAUUCUUGUAACUUGCACAGUGCCCAGUCACGUGAUUCAUUAGACUGCGCUGUUAGCAGACACCUUUGCAGCCGAGCUUGGAAAGUGUUUUGUUUCUACUGUUGAACCUUUUCCAUCAGCAAGAAAGGGGUAUUUCUGGGACAGCCCUUGGGCUCCAGCAGAGGGGUGAUUGUAUGUACAAUGUAACCAGGGUGCUGUGUCUGAUCUUGGACAAGUACACAGUGAGUCACGCCCUGGACCCCUGAGUGAGCCCAGCAGAGUUCAUCUAAGCUGACCACUCGGUGAGUGACACCUGAUACUUAUGCCACUGAGGUUUUGUUACACAGCAUUGUUUUGGUGAUUGAUACAGCAGGAAUGUCACUUAUAACUCUUGGAUGGCUUGAAUUCUGUAAGAGCAGGAUGGUACCCUGUGGACUGCCCAGUCCUUCAAAUCCGUGUUGACUGAGUGAUCUAAUAAAGAGAAGUUUGUAACCCUCUGCGGUUCUGUCUGGCAUAACACCGGUUCCCUCUGCUUACAGCAUCUCUGAUUGGGGUCACUGCUGUUUCCCAUCCACUUGGUAUCCAGCAAAGGCAGACAGAAAGACAGAAAGACAGAGGAAAUUGGAGACUGAGUAGCUAGGCUCUGGUUUUAUGCACAAAGCGAAGGCUCAGUAAGUCUUACUUGCUCCCCUGAAUACUUUGGGUCCCGAGUCCCAUGGCAAGCCUGGUAAUUCCUCAAGGGAAAGCGACUUGGAGCACAGCACAGUGAGCUGGACAGAGAGUGGUGCCUGUGUCGGGUGCUCGGUCUGUAGCAGGCACUUCUUGUCCGUCCAUUCUUGUUUGAUUCUGCAGAGAGGAAUUGAUCUGGAGGUAGAAACUCCGCUCAGAGACAGGAAGCGAGCAAGCAGAUGCACACCGCUGGCAAGGUAGCUGACGAACUCUGGAGUCCAGGGCUGCUCUGCAGCCAAGAAUAGCUUCUUUAAGCCCUUCCCUGCAGGCGGGGACCCUGGCCAGCAUCCAGGCCACACUCUGUGCAAGCCAAGCAGGGAUCCUGCCUGGUGGAGGUGACUGGCCAGCUCAAACUGCACAGUUGUCGGCGUGGCCAGGUUGCUGGGCGCCUCCUUCAGUGCCGCUGGUGUGACUCGGACCUUGUGGGUGAGUGAGCCUCACCAAAGUGCCUGGAUCUGGUUUCCACGAGGGUCUGAAUGGCGUUGGCUCUCCAUCUGCAAGGGUGCGCUGUCCAUCCUGAGCCCUGGGUCCUCUCCGGCUGCCUUUCAGGGAUCCUGGCCGAGUCAGCAGGACCAUAGGGCCGGCUGGCGGCAGGGCAGUGUAUCCUGACCACCAUCCUGGGCUGAGGAGCGAAGCCCCAGUCCGGUCCCCUGUCCCUGGCCUGUCCUCCCCAGCCUGCCAGCUCCAAGGGCGGGAAUGGGGCCAGCGCCGGGAGCUUCUCGGGCUUCUGCUCCUGCUGGCACUGGCUGGGCAGGAGCUCUGCUUGGCUGGCUGCCCUGGGCACUUGCCACCCUUGUGUGUUUGCUUGGCCAUCGGGGUGAGGAAGCAGGAUGCUUUCCAUUGGACCCUGGGCGUUCCGGGCUUCAGGGGCCAGCGGCCAGCCAGGGCGGGAUCUGCCAUCCGUGCCUCCGUCUGUCCUCUUUGUCCCUCUCCCUCUCCUACCUGGCAGGCAGUUCAUAAUCCCGCCACCACCUGAUGCCGCGGGGGAGCAGGGGGAGGCCCACUGCUGUGCAGAGCAGGAACACUGGUGAGGGCCGCCCGAGAGCCUGCCUCAGGCACCUCCAGCCUCGGAGGGAGAGGGACUGUGGCACCCCGGCACCCUUCUCCCACGCCCAGCUGCACCAUUCCCAGACCAUCUGGGCCUCGUCCACAGCGUUUGUUUGAGUGGUGGUGAGACCUCUGGCACCACUCUGCCUGUCUUUGGUUAGAGCAGACAUAGGGAUGAUUUACAAUCACCCAGGAUCUCAGCAUGACUUCCUGUUAGGGUCAGGGAGAGACGCACUCCUGGGCCGUGCUACCUUGCUGAGACAGAGGCUGGCCAUGGAGAGAGCCACUGGUGCCCUGUGAGUGGCAUAUUCCCAGGAGCCCCAUGUUCUGGGUGGGGUAACUGAGGCCAGGAGCACUGGAGCCCUACACAGGGCCUUCCCGGUAGGGUAGGCAGAGAGCACACGGAAGGAAGCCGGGCUCCCCUCCCCCUCCCAAAGCAGCUUGCGUUCCCGCUGUCUGGCGCGGCGGGCAUUGUAGUACGCCUGGGCUUUGCUGAGGGUGCCUGCCCUCAGAGGGAACCUGGGGUGCCAGGGCUGUGGACACGGAGAGAAAGGCCUUUCUGGUCCUUGGCUCGGCUCGGCUCCUACGUUUUUCAGACAGGAAGGUCCCCAGGGCCAUGAUCGCCCCGCCCCACAGAGGACAGCAGAGCUGGGAGGUGAACGGGACACUGCCAUGCCUCUGGUUCACUGAGUGCCGAGGAGUGCAGGGACCGGGCUGAUCCAAGGCCUGCUCAACAGGGACAGAAGGGCCCGGCUGUGAAGGGCCUGGGCUGGCCUGGACAGGGCGCCUGGAGCUGCGGCUGGGCUGUUCCCUUCUCAGCCUCCCCUUCCCACAGGGAUGUGCUCAGCUUUCUCCCAGCCCCGCAGCCCACAGCCUCUGUCCCCACGAGGAGACCUCAUGCGGAACGCACUCUGAGGAGAGCCUGGACGGGCGGAGGGAAGGACCUGCCCUGAGUGCCUCCUCACUGUGCUGUCUGAAGCCGUGGGACCCACCAGCCGCCUGCCUCAGGGCCUCUCUGAGAUUUUUCUGCAGGGAGCAUUUGCGGCACCCGGCAUAUCACCAUAUGGAUACACCGCACCCACCUUACAGAGGAGGGGUGGAAGCUCUGAGAAGCGACACACCUGGCCUCCCCAGAUCACCCAGCUCUCGGGGCACAGCUGACACCCAGGCCUUCUCCGUGGAGGUUUCUGUGGUUCCAGGGACAGAUUCAGCAGGAAUCUAAAUCCUGUGAGAACAGGGCCCUGGGUUCCCCCAUCACCGGCAUCUCCCUGCACCUGUCACCUGUCACCAGGCAGGUUUCCUGUUAGUUACUGAGUCAACGAAAGCAGGGACUUAAAUCCCUUUCCUUUCCUGCUCAAAGCCCCUCACUGUUCGGCGUGCCUUCCCGUGUGGACCCCUUGCUAGCCUGUGUACCUCGCAAGCCUGGGACCGUGUCCGACGACCUUUCAGUCUGAGGCCCCAAUCCCAGCCUGCCCUGCAGCAGGUGCUCCCUGAACGACAGUGGAAUAUGGAAGCAGCAGUCCAUUCUGAGCUUUGGGCCAUGCUUUCCCCACACAGUCUUUCCGACCUCUUUUGUCACACAGAGGUUAAGUUACCUGGACUCACCACGUUGGCAGCAGUCUGCCUACUACCGUUGGUCCAGGAGGAGUUGGAUGUCUGCCCCUGCCAGUCACCUGGAGCUGGCACACCUGGGUUGUUCCGGGGCAGAUCCGAUGGCCCAGGGUUAAGUAGCACCUGGAAUGGUUAUGUGGCCAGGCACCUCCCCCGUGAGUCUCCCGAGUGGCUUGGCGGGUGGCUGGCAAGGGAGGGACCCUUGGCACCGCUGCCCCUUUGUAUCAGCUGCCAGCAGGGCCUUUGAUGUACACAGAGGCCACCUGCCAGCCAAGUGCACUGUGGGACACGGGCACUGGGAGGAGGGGAACUACCCAGGACCCGCCAGAGGGCUCCUCAGCCGCCACUACCAUCUGGUACAGCAGUGGGAUGGCUCGGGAGCAUUUCCCCAUCUUGCAAGGAUGGAGAUGCUGCACAGAACCCCAGUAUUGUGGAUGAGGUAUUAACCUCAAAGCAAGGUGGGGCCUCUCACUGUUCGAGCUUCCUUCCUUACAUGUUAGACUGACACAAGCAGACCAAACUCCAUAGUCCGUCUGAUGUCCUUGUGGGCAUUGAAUGCAUUAAUAUAUUUAAGGCGCCCAUAGUGUGUGUGUGAAUCCAGUAAUAGCAGCACCUAAUACUUACGGAGCACUUAAACACUGCAUUAAUUGCUUCAAUCUUCAUAACUAGGUAGUACUAUUGUCCGCACUUUAUAGAUGAGAAACUAGAGCUCAGAAAUGUGGAGUAACUGCUGCAGGAUCACACAGCCCAACCAAAGCCAGUCCAGAGUUCAGUCCCCAUGGUCUGGUCGGAGACACUGCCUUGCUGUGCGUUGCCCCCGUGACUCAGAUGGUACGCUUCGCUUCUCUGCUUAUCAUGACGGUAAAGACGGCCACCACGAUGGCAGAUGACCACGACGGUGGUGGUGGUCACGGCCCGCUUGUGUCGCAGUUAUUUCUUGUUGGGAUUUUGAAUUCAUUGCAGUUGAUCCUCAGAGCGGGCCGGGAAAGUGAGUAAGUUUAAGGUGGGAGGAGAUCGGGCUUUAAGAGGGGACCAGAGACCUAUUGAGCCACACUGUUGAGUGCAAGGCCAGGGUUGGGGAGGCAUGGGUGGGUGCAGAGGCCACAGGCCACCGGCUGUGUGUUGACACCAGGCUGCUGGGCCCCUGAGGCCGCAGCAUGGGGAGGAUGGGCGGUCACCCCCAAUCCUGCUGUCCUAUAGAAGUUGGGCUGGUCCCUAAGGACUGGAGCCGGAGGGCGUGUCUAGACCCCUGCAGACCCUGUCAUGAAGCUGGUGAGACCCAGCCACUGUCUACUGCGUGUGACACUCAUUGCCCUCCCCGGAGCCCUGGGAUGCUCAUAUUGCUCUCCUGCAGACAUUCGGAUCUGUUGGAUCUGUUACUUACUGCCACAGCAAGGCCGAGUAACAGACAGCAGAACCCAGCUGGCUUUCAGUAGCAGGCAUUUAUGUUCACCCUCUCGGGGUGGUUGGCCGAGUGGUCCUGCCAGUCCCGCCAUGGGGCUGGGCUGCAUGCUGGCCAGUCAGAUUCCGCUGGAGUGACUGGGGUGUUUCUGCUCCCCCAUGACUUCCAUCUCUUUUCAGGUCCUGCAUUCUAGCCAGGGAAUAUCCUUUCAUGAGAGCAGAGCCCAAGAACUUAAUCACUCCUCACAGGGCAAGGCCUCUCCAUGCUUCUGCUGGACUCGCCUUUGCUGACCUGCUUAUUGGCAAAGGCAGAUCGCAGAGCCCAGCUCGAUGUCAGCAUAGGAGGACUCCACAGAGGACACGGUAGAGGGCAAAGAUGCAGGGGCAGGAGAAGUAUUGGGACCUUGUUUGCAGUGGAUCGCAGAUGAAGGCAUCUGAGGUGGCCCUGGGACUUGUCUGAGCUUUGCUGUCACCUUGACUUCAGAGUGACUGCCUCACUCAAGAGAAGAAGGGCACGAACAGGCCCUCAGCAGAGACUGCCUGCCUGGCAGUUCACCUAAAGAGAUGACAGUCCAAUUCCCUUGCCCAUGAGCACAGGGCUUUUCCAAGGUUGCCCGACUGAGACUUGGCUCUGCCAGCGUCAGUGUCACCCGCCUGUUCCCAGUGUCCCCAACUGUGAGAGACAGCCCCACCUGUGCCCAGGUCAUGGCAAGGCGUGGCCGUUCUGCUACCCAGUGCUGCUUGGGUGCUGGAGCCUGCCAGGAGCAGAAGCUGGAGAAGAGAAAACGUGACAUCUUCUUACAGCCUUGGUAGAGCCAUUGAUUUCCCAAAAGCAUCUUCCCCCGGGUGGCCACCUGGAUGCUGGGACACAGUGGAGACUUCUUUGGGAAACACUGAGUCUUUAGAGAAAUUUUCUCAGUUAGCAGCCUCGUAGAGAAUUGAAGCCUUUGAGCCACAGGUUAGCUGGGGCUGCCCCAGUGAAGAUACAUUUCCAGCCUUGAGGAUGAAAACUUUAGUUGGAGCUCUGAUUUUGGAACUAACCUCUGAGUAAGCCCUUUGACUUAUGUAGUGGAGCUGUCUCUCCUUUUCCCUUACUUCACCCACGUCACAGCCCUAAGGAGAAUAAAUGCUGAAUUAAGUCUCUGACCCAUAGCAUCGUGGUGACUCCCUUAAGAACAGGGCUCCAUUGCCUGCAGACGCUAUGUGUCUCUUGCUUGCUUUCCCAUACCAAGAAGUCAAGUCUGAGGUUGGCUUCUGGCUGGGCAUCUGAUUUGUCAGCUUACCUCCUCAGCCUUGCUGAGUGGGAGCUUAAAGGUAGCAUCUCACACAUCUUUUAUCCUGACCUCUGGCCUUAUUGAAGUGCAGAGCCUUGAAUAGUAUAUUAGUCAGGUUCACUGUCAUUGGAACACAGUGUCUGAUAGAAUUUAAAGGAGAGGAGACUUAAUUUUAUGGUUUAUGGUUUAUGGUUUCAGGCAUUCAGUCCAUGGAUGGCUGGCUCCAAGGCAGAAACUUCAUGGUGGAAAUCCAGGCAGAACAAAGGUGCUUAGUUCCUGGCAACCAGAAAGAAAAGCAGGGAACAGUACCUGAAAAGAAGGUACAAGGGACCAGACAUAGUCCCUAAGGGCAUGUCUCCAUGAAGCACCCAGACAUAUACAGAAGUGUGGUCCACCAAACCCCCAUGUAGAUCCUAAAUCCCAAUAAGCUGACACUCCACCCUAACCUCCACAAAUGGAGAGAGGUAUGAGAUACGAGAUGUCUUCUUCCUCUUCUUCCUCCUCCUCCCCCCUCUCUUCCUCCUUCCCUUCUUUCUCCACUGUAUACUUUUUCUUUGGGAAAUAUAAACCUAGUUACUUAUUUUAUCAGGUGUAGAAAGAGAAUGCCUUUCCCUCUGCAAACACUAGCAUUCCCUUCCUCUAGAAAACUACUACUAAUCCUCGAGGACCUGAUGGAAUAAUUCCUUUUGCCAGGGGACUUUCCUCUUAGCUCCAUCCCCUGUAGGGUGGAGGUGCCCAUGGUUUAUUUUGGAAUAUCACAUCACCAGGGUUUUGUUCUUGUCCAGGUAGCCUUUAUUCUAUGUUCUGGCUUGUCUCAGUGUGGUGGUAGGGAGGUCCCCGAAGCCCUCUGGGGGCAGUGAUGUGACUUCUUUAUUUCUGACCCCUGUGCUUACAACAGUGCUGAGUACAACAGGAAUGUCACACUUGUGUGUACAAGAUGGACAAACACAUGUGUAAGUAGUGACAGCUUUGGUCCAGCAAAGAUCUCGGGCUCCAGGCUGCUCAGCUGUGGCUUGGGACGUGGAAUGCCAACAGGUCACAUAGACAAGGCCCCGCAUGCUUGGCAAAUGUGUGGGAAGCUGGAAAUGGUCCAGCCUUAAACUUUGACAGUCUCAGGUUUGAUCCCUUUCCCUGCCAGUGAGGUUGAAUAAUUCACUUUACUCCUGCCCCAUGCCUCAGUUUCACCAUCUGUAAAACAAAUAGAAAUGUUUGCUUUACUGGAUUUGUUGCUCUUCAAGUGAGAAGACUUGGUUAUGAAGCAAUCACUCCCUUUUACUUUCUGUGUGACUUUGUGUCACUUCCCAACUUCUCCUAUCUUAGUUCCUUCAGCUGGAUCAUGUGAUCACAGUGCCUGUCCUCCUGUAUUUCCACAGCUAAAGAAAUAGUGAGUGAAUGGUGGAUGGAAAAACACGCUGUAAAAUUCUCUGAGCUGGCCACUGUGUACCUCUCUACAAGAGGCCUGCAACCCUCUGGUUCUCGGGAGAGCACUCCAGCACCCCAUCCCUGCUGAGGGGAGCAAAGAGGGGAGGAGGCACACCGUGCAGUCAGGGUUUCCCGUGUGCCAUCUGACCAGUCCCUGCAGCAGUGUGCCAGGAGGCGAUGGUUCGUACAUAGUGCUGCAUGGUGCUCACCUGUCUCCUGAGUGACUGCUUGUUGGGGAGCUGGCCCAUGUAUGCAACAUGUAUUGAUCACUUUUGAUCCCUUUCCUUCCUUUCUCUCACCUCCCCCGUCCAGUCCCCACCCCCAUCCCCUGAGUCGGCCUUCUUGUUUCCUAUCAUCUGUCCUUUGUCUU